UUAAUAGGUUCGAGGUGGAAGCAUGGUGACAUGUGGAGCUGACGAAUACUAAUCGAUCGAAGACUUAAUCAA
This 72-nucleotide ribosomal RNA is filed under the name Staphylococcus aureus. Its description in RNAcentral is "partial 23S ribosomal RNA". Lineage: Bacteria; Bacillati; Bacillota; Bacilli; Caryophanales; Staphylococcaceae. The record is from RNAcentral.